CCUCGGGGGGCAGCAGUGAGGAAUAUUGGUCAAUGGGCGCAGGCCUGAACCAGCCAAGUAGCGUGAAGGAUGUCUGCCCUAUGGGUUGUAAACUUCUUUUAUCUGGGAAUAAAGUUUUCCACGUGUGGAAUUUUGUAUGUACCAUAUGAAUAAGGAUCGGCUAACUCCGUGCCAGCAGCCGCGGUAAUACGUAGGAUCCGAGCGUUAUCCGGAUUUAUUGGGUUUAAAGGGAGCGUAGAUGGGUUGUUAAGUCAGUUGUGAAAGUUUGCGGCUCAACCGUAAAAUUGCAAUUGAUACUGGCGUCC
RNAcentral lists this ribosomal RNA (305 nucleotides) under uncultured bacterium. Its description in RNAcentral is "bacterial SSU rRNA". It matches the Rfam family "Bacterial small subunit ribosomal RNA", at positions 339 to 641 of the family's 1533-position model. The record is from RNAcentral.